Long non-coding RNA from Oncorhynchus tshawytscha (Chinook salmon), 745 nucleotides. The record is from Ensembl. NCBI's taxonomy places the organism in Eukaryota, Metazoa, Chordata, Actinopteri, Salmoniformes, Salmonidae.
UGGGAUCUGGGUCUGUGUGGUGGGGAAUGGGAUCACGGUCUGUGUGGUGGGGAAUGGGUUCACGGUCUGUGUGGGGAGGAAUGGGAUCAGGGUCUGUGUGUUGGGGAAUGGGUUCAAGGUCUGUGUGGUGGGGAAUUGGUUCACGGUCUGUGUGGGGGGAAUGGGAUCUGGGUCUGUGUGGGGGGGAAUGGGAUCUGGGUCUAUGUGGGGGAAUGGGAUCUGGGUCUGUGUGGUGGGGAAUGGGUUCACGGUCUGUGUGGUGGGGAAUGGGAUCAGGGUCUGUGUGGGGGGAAUGGGAUCAGGAACUUUGUGGGGGGAAUGGGAUCAGGGUCUGUGUGGGGGGAAUGGGGAUCUGGGUCUGUGUGGGGGGAAUGGGAUCUGGGUCUGUGUGGUGGGGAAUGGGAUCUGGGUCAGUGUGGUGGGGAAUGGGAUCUGGGUCUGUGUGGUGGGGAAUGGGUUCAAGGUCUGUGUGGUGGGGAAUGGGUUCACAGUCUGUGUGGGGGGGGAAUGGGAUCUGGGUCUGUGUGGGGGGAAUGGGAUCUGGGUCUGUGUGGGGGAAUGGGAUCUGGGUCUGUGUGGUGGGGAAUGGGUUCACGGUCUGUGUGGUGGGGAAUGGGUUCACGGUCUGUGUGUGGGGGGAAUGGGAUCUGGGUCUGUGUGGGGGGAAUGGGAUCAGGGUCUGUGUGGUGGGGAAUGGGUUCAAGGUCUGUGUGGUGGGGAAUGGGUUCACGGUCUGUGUGGGGGG